Molecule: long non-coding RNA, 484 nt
Organism: Sebastes umbrosus (honeycomb rockfish)
Lineage: Eukaryota; Metazoa; Chordata; Actinopteri; Perciformes; Sebastidae
Exons: 3
Source: RefSeq, a predicted model, not a curated record
UAUCGAAGCUACUUAAUGGGACAGUGUGUAGGAUUUGGUGGCAUCUAGUGGUGUGGCUGCAGAUUGCUACCAACUGAGUACCCCUCCACUCACUCCUCCUUUUCAAAGACUGCGGUAACAUGAGCCUCCCAGUGCAAAAACAUGGUAACGCCAUGUGCCUCGCUCAGAGGCCAUCCUUACCAUAAUAACAAGAGGAUCCGCUCCCUGUGUAGAUAUGAAGGGCUCAUGCUAAGCUAACGUAAACACAUCAAUUUCAGGUUGUUUUUUCAGGUGAUUAUACAAUAAUGAAAACAUAUUUAUUAAUAUUAUAUUCCAUUUCUGCCAAUAGAUCCCACUAAAUGCUCCACACUGGACCUUUAAAGUUUAAAUGUAUUUUCUUGUUGUUAAAGGCUGGAUUAUGACAAUCUGAAUGUCUCAGCUGAGUGAAAUGUGAAUACUUUUGUUUGGUCAUCUUAUCCACAUUAAUAAUGACUAAUGAAAACGA